This 1266-nucleotide long non-coding RNA is filed under the name Anas platyrhynchos platyrhynchos (common mallard). Its description in RNAcentral is "lncRNA (ENSAPLG00000025398.1)". The record is from RNAcentral. Lineage: Eukaryota; Metazoa; Chordata; Aves; Anseriformes; Anatidae.
CUUUCUCUAAAGCACCCCCGAUGAUUUCCUUCCCUUGGAGUUCCUCAGCUUUCUGACCAGCCCCAGGACUGAUGCAAGAGCUGAACCUUUCUGUUUCCUGUUUCUACACAUCCUGUGGGGUGCGAAGGGCAUCAAAACUGCUCUCUGUGCAGCAGCAGAAAUGGAAGAUUGAGCUCAGCAUGGUUGGGGAAGUGAGAGGAGGUGCAGCGAGGAGCAGCAAGUAGCUCUGUGUAAAUCUGUCUCAGAUUUAGAAAUAAGUCAGCAAAAUCCCCUCGCUGUAUCCCACGUUGCUCCUGAACACCCCGGGGGUUUUGUUGAGCCGUGCCUCGUGGCCAGGAGGGCACCGAGCGGGCAGGGCACGGGGAAUAUUUGAAUGUUUGUGUGGUUUGGAGGAGAGCGAGGCAGAAAAGGCCGAUGCAGAAGAUGGGAGGAAGGCGUUGGAGCUCGCUGGAAGGGAAGCAGCGCAGAAUUGGUGCCGAGGUCUGCAGCUGGAGGCCGUGCAAGCGAAACCACCGCUGAACCAAACCCGCUGGAUGCCGCCAGCGAGGAACGCCGCCCGAAAACCCUGCCCAGGACUCCCCUGAUCUCUCCUCCAGACCCUGGGAAAAGGCUGCGAGCCCAGCAGGUUGCUCUCUCUCUGGCUACCAGCCGCUGCCUUCGCUGUGGGAACGCACCGAGCUGCUCGGCAGCCCGUGCCUGGGGCUCAAAGAUAAUUCUGAAACGCCUCCAGCCUUGGAAUCACGCGGUGAGGGAUGUCCCAAACAGCAGGGGCACAAAGCAGGGGCUGUGCCCAGCACAGGGACCUCUCGGUGAUGCAAGGAAAUCGUUCAGAGUGGAUGAAGUGGACGCCGGGCUCCCAAAAUCUGGCAGGGCUGAAGGUGCUGAAUGCGAUUCUCCGGCUCUGCACCCAGCCAGCAGCUGGCAGCCCGCACGGCUUCCCUUUGCUAGCUCAGAAAAUCAUGUUUUUAGAGCAAAGGGCUGGAAACUGAAGUCAUGUUUUCAAACCGAGUGGCUGGAAACCAGAAGCAGCUGCCGAGAAACGGUGCCAAUGGCCAAAACUCACCCGAAAUGGCUUUCUCUGCUGAGCUCCUCGGCGUGCUGCGAUCUGUAAAGCUGCAGCUGGUUGUGAUUAAAAAGCCAUCGGGAGUUUACAGGGAAGCUCGCAGGAGCAAAUCGUUUCUGCGUGUCCUUGCUGCUCGCACCGCCGUGCCAAAACUGCUGUUUGCUGCGUCUGAAAGGCAAAAAUAAAAAUAAUAAAAAAUAGCA